CAAACAUAAAAAAUCCCACCUAAAUUUAAUGUACUGUUAUCUAUUUCUAGGAACUGGAGCUCUGCCGAAGGUUAUACAAAUUGCAUUUUCAAUUGCUGCUUCUGUUCCAGGCCUACUGUAAACUUAUCAACCAAGUAAAUACAAUAAAAAAUGAAGCAGAGGUAAAUAUUAAGUUGUCCUAGGCAUCAGUAACUGAAACACUAAAGUAUACAUACAUUUGUUAGGCUAGCUAACAUCAAAAGUCACUUACCUUGAAUCAUUUUCUUCAGUUGAGGAAUUUUUUUUUUUUUUAAAUGAUGUCCUAUGCCAGGACGUUAUUAGUGAAUCAGACAGCAAGUACUGGAUUCAGAGGUUCAAGACCUUACCGGUUUCUGAAGUAUAAACAGAUCAUGUGUAAUCAAAAGUCAAGCAAAGCACCUCAGUAAAAACCAAAUUGUACAGUGAAACCCCAACAUCCUGUCCAUGGAAUGUCUCUCCCGUUCUGUGAAUGCAACAAGAACAAACGGGUUAAAAACACCUGGGAUGUUGAAAAUCUUUAAUGUGUAGGUUCGUGGGUAAUGACUUCUCCUUUCCCCUUACCAGCUGGUACUAAAGCUCUCAUUAGGAAAAUGAUUUUUUUAAAUUGUUAAAUCCCUGAAAAUAUGUGUACAUAUGUUCAUGCUUUAAAAGUUUAACCAGUGAAUUUAUAAAGACUACUGUCAAAAAAGUUUUCAUGGUUCUCCCCCAUAAAUGUUUUUUACUACCCAAAUCAUAACAUGUAAUCACGUUAAAAUUAUCAUUCUGUAAGUUACAACUCAUUGCUGCUUUGUUAAGAAUUUUUAAAGCCUAUUCUGUGACUGGGAUUACUUAUUCCCACUGAAUAGAAAACAUGAAAUCUUAACUGCCCCUACUUCUAAGUUUAACAAAUGAGAGAAAACGCUUCCCCCAUCAGGUGUCUCCUCAUAGCCAGGUAAAUGCUUUGUGGUACUGACUAUGGGAAUGGGUCCCUAAAGGUGUAUUUGUUUUAGGUCAUCAACAUGUCAGAGGAACUUGCCCAGCUGGAAAGUAUCCUCAAAGAAGCUGAAGCUGCUUCUGAAAAUGAAGAAAUUGACAUUUCCAAAGCUGCACAAACCACUAUAGAAACUGCCAUUCAUUCUCUAAUUGAAACUUUGAAAAAUAAGGAAUUUAUAUCAGCUGUAGCACAAGUCAAAGCUUUCAGGUAAAAUGUGAAAGGAUUUAAAGAUAAAGAUGCCAUUAUGUAACUGGACUGGAAAUUUAUAAAGUUUAGGUUUUGGUUCUCGGUUUGAUAUUUCAAUAGCAUGUCUUUGUGAAGGGAAAAAUCCACGUUUAUUUUCAGUAGUUAUCACUGAAAUGAUACCAAUUUCAGAUUUUUUUCACUCUCAGGUGGUACUUUGAGUAAUAUAUUUGCUCAAACAAUUAAAAACAGGUCACUGGGCUGGGCAUCGGGCUUGGUAGUACAUACCUGUAAUCUCAGCAACUCGGGAGGCUAAGGAAGAUCACAGUUAGAAGCCAGCCUCAGCAACUUAGUGAGACCCUGUGUCGAAAUAAAAUACAAAAGCUGGGGAUGUGACUCAGUGGUUAAGUACCCCAGGAUUCAAACCCCAGUACCCAACAAAAAAAGGGCGGUUGGGUGGGGGAGUGGGGAUAUGGCCCAGUAGUAGAGCAUGCCUGGAUUCAGUUCCUGGUACUAUGGACACACAAAACAGGCUUCGUGUUAUUCACCAGGAAGUUUUGUGAUAUAUCAGUUAACUUAAAAUGUAGUUAAUCUUAACUAACAAUUGUUUGCACCUCAGAAUUUAAAAAGAAUAUGUGUUUUCAGAUCUCUCUGGCCCAAUGACAUUUUCGGCAGCUGUGAGGAUGACCCUGUGCAGACGCUGUUACACAUCUAUUUUCAUCACCAGACACUGGGUCAGACGGGCAGCUUUGCAGUUAUAGGCUCCAACCUGGACAUGUCAGAAGCCAACUACAAAUUGAUGGAGCUUAAUCUGGAGAUAAGAGAGUCUCUACGCAUGGUGCAGUCAUACCAACUUCUAGCACAGGCCAAACCCAUUGGAAAUAUGGUGAGCACUGGAUUCUGAGAAACUUCAAACAUUUUGGAGAGAAACUAAACUGAUGAUUAAGAAUAUUAACCAAGCACCUUUUAUGAACCCUUGUGAUUCACUGAUAACUUUCCUGGCAGCAUCUACAAUUGUAAUGUAACUAAUGUCAAACUGUAUCUGAAGGACAAGAAAAUCUAACAGCUGCCAAUACCUCCCACAGUAACUGUAUGAAGAAGGAAUUUUUUAAAUUAUUUAACCUAUGUGAAAAGAAAAGGGCUAAAAGUGAUGCAUACAAAUACAUUGCUUUCUGGAGAAAGAAAAGAAUUCCAAGAAUGUUUGCAAUAAUGGCCUCUAAUACUGAGACAUCAGAAAGCAGGUGAAAUGAGGCUGAAAUCAAGGCUGGUUCAUUUUAGCCGAAGACCUGCAAAGCUGCUUGGAUUUCUUGCAGCCAUCAACAUCACCUACAACUGAUGCUUAAUCACCCAACACGAACAUCCAGACCGAUAUAUAGACUUAUUUGCAAAAACCAUUGAUUUUUUUUUUCCCCUCAAUUUAUGGGAUAAGGGUUUGGGGUGUUUUGUUUUUUGGUCUGUGUAAAGAAUUAUGUGUGUGUGAGUUGGGAUGUAUGGAUACGUGAUAGUCAUAUUUUCAAGGUGUGGAUGUCUGGUGAUAACGUCUCAGAGCAUGCCUAAAAGAGCACUGCAAGAUUAUUUUUGAAGAAAUUUUAUUUUAUUAGAUCUAACUCUUCAUAGUGUGUAAAUGUUAGAACAUUUUAAUAAUAUUUUAAAACUGGGCUCUCCCAGUAUUUCAAAAAGAAAUAAUAUAUCUGUUAACGUUAUUGGAAUGCUGCUCAGUUCUCUGAUCAGUGCUUAUGUUACAAAAUUGUUGAUAACUAACCAAAGUAGAUGCCUGCAGAGACUUUAAAAUGUAAAAUAAAGAUGUAUGCUGCCCGUCAGCUAUUCUCAUUAGAAAAGUUAACUUAUUUUACACCAUAAUUAUUCUAGAAACUGUAUAGACUAAACCCAAUAUUUUCUUGUACAUUCGUGCCAUGCACUGUUAUACAAGAAUAGGUGUACAAAGCUAGAGGAAAAACUUUGGUCAUUGAUGGGAGAAUAUAUGGUCUGCAGGCUCUGAAGUCUGCAAAGAGAUGCAAAUGCAUUUUUAUGUUUAUUCAGGACUCACAUGUGUCGUGCUAAAGGAACCUGGGGCUAGAGGGGAGAUGAAAGGCAGCCUGAAGACUACCAAAACACGCAAUAUACUUACUAAGUCUGUAGCAUAACACGAACUGGAUUCUCUGUCCUUUUUUAAAUAGCAUUUUGUAAAAGAAAUGAAUGUAGUCCCACAAUUCCUCUGAUUUGAAAGGAACACCUUGUAUUUUUUAUAUGCAUCUCUUAUCCACUGUGACUAUUCUUUUAAACUGGGCUCUGACUACUUCAGAGUUUGGAAUGUAGAAAUGAAAUGCUUAGCUUUGCCUUUUCUUGGGGGUGUGAACCCUGCCAGAAAUGUAAUUAUGCUCAAGUGCAUUAAUUGAAGGCACUGUGCACGCCGUUGGACUGCUGACUCUAGUUGUUUCCUGUAAAAUUCCAUAACUGGUCACGGCACAUUCAUAAUCACUGUAUUUUUUGACCCUGAUAAAAACAAUUAUUUUAAUGGUGUUCUGGUACUGUAAAUGGUGUCCUUUAAAUUAUUUAAUAACUUCGGGUGUUGGGGCAGGCAGAGAGGGGGGUGUCCAGAGACACAUCACACUUUAUAUCCUAUCUUAACUCUCCCCUAUUUUUCUCGCCCUCCUUACAUUCUUUUUGUUAAAAAUAAAAAACAU
RNAcentral lists this long non-coding RNA (3858 nucleotides) under Marmota monax (woodchuck). Lineage: Eukaryota; Metazoa; Chordata; Mammalia; Rodentia; Sciuridae. The record is from RNAcentral.